Molecule: microRNA precursor, 101 nt
Filed under: Marmota monax (woodchuck)
Lineage: Eukaryota; Metazoa; Chordata; Mammalia; Rodentia; Sciuridae
Source: RNAcentral
AGCAGAAUUGCUGGUGGGUGUGGUAACUCCAUGUUUAGCUUUUCGAGAAAUUGCCAAACUCUUCCAAAGAAGCUGGACCAUUUUACACCAUCACCAGCAAU